UCCCUGGUGGUCCAGUGGCUAAGACUCUGUGCUCCCAAUGCAGGGGGCCUGGGUUCAAUCCCUGGUUAGGGAA
Molecule: transfer RNA, 73 nt
Filed under: Bos taurus (domestic cattle)
Lineage: Eukaryota; Metazoa; Chordata; Mammalia; Artiodactyla; Bovidae
Rfam family: tRNA
About the family: Transfer RNA (tRNA) molecules are approximately 80 nucleotides in length.
Source: Rfam by way of RNAcentral